Triticum aestivum (bread wheat) is the source of this 115-nucleotide non-coding RNA. Lineage: Eukaryota; Viridiplantae; Streptophyta; Magnoliopsida; Poales; Poaceae. The record is from Rfam.
CUUGUACUCCCUCCGUCCGAAAAUACUUGUGAUUGAAAUGGAUGUAUCUAGAUGUAUUUUAGUUCUAGACACAUCCAUUUUGAUGACAAGUAAUUCCGGAUAGAGGGAGUACUUG